RNAcentral lists this ribosomal RNA (204 nucleotides) under Ichthyophthirius multifiliis. Its description in RNAcentral is "small subunit ribosomal RNA". The record is from RNAcentral. Lineage: Eukaryota; Ciliophora; Oligohymenophorea; Hymenostomatida.
AUAAAUUUUUAGGUUGAAAAUAAAAUUUUUAUUGAGUGUGAUCAUGGCUCGGAAUUAACGCUGAUUAGAUGCAUUACACAUGCAAGUUAAAUUAGGUUUAUAAAAAUUUAUAAACUAAAUAGCGUCUAGGUGAGUAAAUAUAAGUUAAUACCUUUAAGUAUAUAUAGAUAAUAUAUAUAUAUAAAUACAAUUUUAAUUAAUUAU